GACACGGACCAGACUCCUACGGGAGGCAGCAGUGAGGAAUAUUGCGCAAUGGAGGCAACUCUGACGCAGCCAUGCCGCGUGCAGGAGGAAGGCGCUACGCGUUGUAAACUGCUUUUAUCCGGGAAGAAACCCUCCGACGUGUCGGAGGUUGACGGUACCGGAGGAAUAAGCACCGGCUAACUUCGUGCCAGCAGCCGCGGUAAUACGAAGGGUGCAAGCGUUAUCCGGAUUCAUUGGGUUUAAAGGGUGCGUAGGCGGAGUGUUAAGUCAGUGGUGAAAUCCUGCGGCUCAACUGUAGACUUGCCAUUGAUACUGACGCUCUUGAGUGCGCUUGAAGUGGGCGGAAUGUGCCGUGUAGCGGUGAAAUGCUUAGAUAUGGCACAGAACACCAAUUGCGAAGGCAGCUCACUAAGGCGAUACUGACGCUGAGGCACGAAAGCGUGGGGAUCGAACAGGAUUAGAUACCCUGGUAGUCCACGCCGUAAACGAUGAUCACUCGUGAUUGGCGAUACACAGUCAGUCACCUAGCGAAAGCGUUAAGUGAUCCACCUGGGGAGUACGAUCGCAAGAUUGAAACUCAAAGGAAUUGACGGGGGCCCGCACAAGCGGUGGAGCAUGUGGUCUAAUUCGAUGAUACGCGAGGAACCUUACCAGGGCUCGAACGCACGACGACAGGGGUGGAAACAUCCUCUUCUUCGGACGGCGUGCGAGGUGCUGCAUGGCUGUCGUCAGCUCGUGCCGUGAGGUGUCGGGUUAAGUCCCAUAACGAGCGCAACCCCUAUCUUUAGUUGCCAGCGGGUAAUGCCGGGGACUCUAGAGAAACUGCCCGCGUAAGCGGUGAGGAAGGUGGGGACGACGUCAAGUCAUCACGGCCCUUACGUCCUGGGCUACACACGUGCUACAAUGGCGAGUACAGAGGGAAGCUACCGGGCGGCCGGAUGCGGAUCCUCAAAACUCGUCUCAGUUCGGAUCGGAGUCUGCAACCCGACUCCGUGAAGCUGGAAUCGCUAGUAAUCGCAUAUCAGCCAUGAUGCGGUGAAUACGUUCCCGGGUCUUGUACACACCGCCCGUCAAGCCAUGGAAGCCGGGGGUGCCUGAAGUCGGUGACCGCAAGGAGCUGCCUAGGGCAAAACCGGUGACUGGGGCUAAGUCGUAACAAGGUAGCCGUACCGGAAGGUGCGGCUG
Molecule: ribosomal RNA, 1185 nt
Filed under: metagenome
Description: bacterial SSU rRNA
Rfam family: Bacterial small subunit ribosomal RNA
Source: RNAcentral